RNAcentral lists this long non-coding RNA (642 nucleotides) under Macaca mulatta (Rhesus monkey). RNAcentral's name for it is "lncRNA (ENSMMUG00000054051.1)". The record is from RNAcentral. Lineage: Eukaryota; Metazoa; Chordata; Mammalia; Primates; Cercopithecidae.
CACAAGACGCCUCAUUCUCAGCACAGAGACAAUGCAGAAGCUUCCUUUGGUUCCCCAGGAGAAGCAAAGGGAAUCGGAGGUGACAAAGGCACAGCAGAGAGGAACAUUGGAAAAUUGAGUCCUGCCUCCAUGUGCCAAAGACAGACUGGUUUCAACAAAGCAUCCUUGCAAAUGCUCAGGCAAAACUAUCAACAAUGCUAUUGUCUUCAGAAAAUAUGCAGAAAAAAGAGCUGACAUUUGACAUACAAGUUAUUCUUGGAUGAGAAAAAUAAAAGAGGCUGGAGAACUUGGGAGCAAAGAGGUGAAAAUUGGGCUGCCUUUGUGUGAAAACAGGUGAAGAGGAAGAAGAACACAGUACAGGUAGGCAAGUCACAGGUGAAGAGCUGAAGUUUAUGAGUUGGGUAGAUGUACCUGUGUGUUUGGUGGGGGAAGCUUGGAAAAGAUCAAUUUUUAAGCUACAGAAUAGAGAAAGGGAAUAGUGAAUAGCCUUUAUUGAGCACUUCUAGCUGCCAUGCACAUACUACUUUAGAUGUAACUUAGCAUUUACUGUGCUCUUUCUCUGUACCAAGCAAGUACUCUGUUGAUCAAUGUAGUAGAGCAUGGGAAAUGAGGUUGAAAAAUGAUCAGAUUAUGGAGGGCCUU